RNAcentral lists this ribosomal RNA (253 nucleotides) under uncultured bacterium. RNAcentral's name for it is "partial 16S ribosomal RNA". It matches the Rfam family "Bacterial small subunit ribosomal RNA", at positions 524 to 776 of the family's 1533-position model. The record is from RNAcentral.
UACGUACGAGGCGAGCGUUAUCCGGAAUUAUUGGGCGUAAAGAGCGCGCAGGCGGUCGUUCAAGUCGAGUGUGAAAGCCCCCGGCUCAACUGGGGAGGGUCAUUCGAUACUGAUCGACUCGAAGGCAGGAGAGGGAAGUGGAAUUCCCGGUGUAGUGGUGAAAUGCGUAGAUAUCGGGAGGAACACCAGUGGCGAAGGCGACUUCCUGGCCUGUUCUUGACGCUGAGGCGCGAAAGCUAGGGGAGCAAACGGG